CUGUGGGUCUCCUUUUAUUAUUAUUUUCUCUUAGCUUUUAAUUAGUCUCUUCUUAACUGCUCCGCAUGACAAAACAUCACUCUUUCCAACCCAGGGGGAAAAUACUGAGGUUCCUGUUUGACUAUCCCAGUGCUUUUCUGACAGCUGAAUGUACUGCUAACUUUGACUUUUUUUUUUUUUUCCUCUUUGGAGCUCUUCUUCUGUGAAGCCCUUCAAGCCCUUCAGUGACAUGGCAGGGACAUUGUUUUUCUUGGGCAACUGAGACAUUGCUUGCAGCAGGUGAGGAUGAGUUGGUGGUGUUGCAGCCAAUAGCAACCUGUGUGUAGUAGUAAUUCCACCAACUUUGGGGGUCUCUCAGUCAGAGGAUGUCCUUCCUUGAUACUUAAGAAAAGAGGACGUGAAGCUGAUCUCUGGAAGAGAAGUAAGGAAGAAGACUCCUGAGCUGGUGUUAAACCCCAGGAAAAUCAAAAGGAGUUACGUGGAAUGGACUUUGUCCCACUGAGCCUUGCUGUCUGCUCUCACAUUGCCGUGGAGGAUAAGGGUUGACAACAAAACAUCAGCUUUCCUGACUUCUGGAAUUAACCUCUAAUACAUAUUAGCAGCAGCCUUUCAAGUAGUUUUUGCAUACACAGGCUUUCGGUAACGUGACCACGCAGGGGUGUGCUCUGACACCAUCUAGAGGUGAGCUCCUUGGUGUUAGGUGUGCAGUGCUAACGAGAUGUCACAAGCAGCUGCUCAUCACUUGGAAAACAUCUGCUGCUCAGGUAGCAGGUCUGUUGUCAUCCUAGGCAUGUGAGGGCCUGAAUCCCCAGCAUCUACAGGAGUGCAGGUCAUAUAAGAAGGGAAAACAGUGCUGCACCUUUAAUGUAGUUUUAAUACAUAUUCAAUGUCCCUUCAAUUACUGCCUGAGUAAUUAGUGUGGAUGCAAAUCAAAUGUGGAACAACAGAAUGAUUUUUCGGGCUUCCUCAGGGGACUGGACUUUGGAAGUAGUAGCACUGUGUUGUAUUUCAUGCAACUUUGUAAAGAGAGGAAAGGAGAGAGCUGAGAAUAGCAGGCAGUGGAAUCCUUCCAAACAUGCUAUAUUGCUAACUGUGCACGUAGGAGAAUCUACAUUAACACUGCAACCUUCAACUGCUGUGAUUUGCCAAUCACAGUUUUGGAAGUGAUACUUCCUUGCUCUUUGUGCCCUGAGGGAAGUCUCUGUGCAUUACCCUGCUGCCUGCUUGAGUGAAUCCUUUAUAGCAGAAUAAACCUGACCAUGAGAAGCAACGAAUGUUUUCAAGCCAAACACCCAUAAAAAGACUUGUGUUUGUAGCGGGAGUUUCACUCCAGAGAUCCCACGUUAUUCUCCUUAUACUUUUAUCCAGAAGCUACCCUGUUGUGACCAGUCUUUUUCAGAGUACCCCAGAGACUGUCUUGUGAUUGCCAAGCCACUCUCCUUCAUAUUUGAAAAGUUCUGGAGUCAGGUGAAGUUCCUGGUGACUGGAAAAAGGGAAACAUCACUCCCAUUUUUAAAAAGAUAGAAAGGAGACCUGGGGAACUACAGACCAAUGAGCCUCACCUCUGUGCCUGGCAAGAUCAUGGAACAGAUCCUCCUGGAAGCAGUGUCGAGGCACAUGCAAGACAAGGUGAUCUGAGACAGCCAGCAUGGCUUCACCAAGGCAAAUAGUACCUGACCAAUCUGGUGGCCUUCAAUGUUGUAGUGACUGCAUCAGUCAACAAGGGAGGCCCAACCAAUGUCAUCUACCUGGACUUCUGUAAAGCCUUGGAGACAGUCCCACGUGAUAUCCUUAUCUCUAAAUUGGAGAGAGAUGGAUCCAAAGGGUGGACUGUUCAUUGCAUAAGGAAUUGACUGCAUGGUUUCAGCCAGAGAUUUGCAGUCAAAGAUUCUAUGUCCAGGUGGAGGCCAGUGACUUGUGUUGUCCCUCAGGGAUCCAUUCUGAGACCAGUGCCCAUGUGAGCCUAAUGAGGUUCAAGAAGUCUAAGUGCAAGGUGCUGCACAUGAGUCAAGGCAAUCACGUUAGUACAGAUUGGGAGAAGAGCUCAUUGAGAGCAGCCCUGCGGAGAAGGACUUGGGGAUUCUGGUGGACAAAAAAAGCUCGACAUGAGCCAGCAGUGUGCAAAUGCAGCCCUGAAGGCCAACUGCAUCCUAGGCUGCAUCAACAGAGGUGUGGCCAGCAGGUCGAGGCAGGUGAUUGUCCCCCUCUGCUCUGCCCUUGUGAGGCCCCACCUGAAGUGCUGCAUCCAGGUCUGGGGCCCCCAGCACAAGAAGGAUGUCGAUCUGCUAGAAUGGGUCCAGAGGAGGGCCACAAAGAUGAUCAAGGGUCUGGAGCACCACUCCUACAAAGAAAGGCAGAGAGAGAGCUGGGGCUGUUCAGCCUGGAGAAGUCUCUGGGGAGACCUCGUUGCAACCUUUCAGUACACAAAGGGAACUUAUAGAAAAUAUGGAGAGUGACUUCUUACACAGGCAGAUAGUGAUAGGACAAGGGGGAAUGGUUUUAAACUAAAAGAGGGAAAAUUUAGGCUAGAAAUUGGAAGGAAAUUCUUUACUCAAAGUGUGGUGAGGCACUGGAACAUGUUGCCCAGAGAGGUUGUGGAUCCCCCAUCCCUGGAGGUGUUCAAGACCAGAUUGGAUGAAGCCCUGGGCAACCUGAUCUAGUGGGUGGCAUUCCUGCCCAUGGCAGGGGGUUUGGAAUUAGAUGGUCUUUAAGGUCCCUUCCAAACCAAGGCAUUCUUUGAUUCUAUGAUAACAUACAAUGUGGAGCUGUGCUGUCAGCCUCAGAGAAUCAAGCAGCAAUGACUCCAGCACCUUGCUGAUACACAGUCAUCUCCUGUGAUGCCACCAUUACUCAGAGAAUCUGAAAUGUGCUAGUAGAGUUUUUUCUAAAACUUAAAAAUGAGGAAAAUGGUUUGAGUAUUACUUGGCUCAGUCAAAUCAGGUGAAAGACUGAGGGCUGCUGGAUGAGGGAUGAUUUCUGUGGAAAUCAGAACAUGGAUGUCAAAGGUUCAGUUGUCUUUCUGUGUUUCAGGUUCCUGAACUCUGUGCUUCCCCUGCUCCUAACAGCAUAAGUGAGGGCAGUCUCAGCUAGUGCUUCUUGAUAUUCACAUUUUCUGUUUGGAGGAUGCAGCCCACAUCAGUCAAAGUUUGUGAGUGACAGGGAAAUUUGCAUAGGAAACAUUAGCCUUCUGUUCUGCUGUAUCUGGUUAAAAAAGGCUCCCCUUCUGAUUGUCAUUCCAGAGGUCCACAGCUUUCUGGGUAGAUAAGGGACUAUAUUUAUUAUCAUUUGCCUUCUCCCGUGACUCAGCAGCAAGCAGGCUGAGGUUCACAAACAAAAGUAAAAUGACAUCAGCAGUUGUCAAAUAGAAAAAGGCAAAGCUGACAAAGGCAUUUUGCUUUAAUGCUUCUAAGCGGAUAUUGCAAAUCACAAGAGUGUACACACACACAGACACCACACACGCAGUGGAAUAGUCAUAAUGAAAUUCUAAAACACUUGCCAGCAUCUACAUCUUUGAGAAGGAAAAGUCAGUGCCUGGCUCAAUAGCAACUUGUAUUUUAACUUCAGGUGAUCAAAGAUAAGCACAGCUGCUGCAGCAGCAGCAGCUGAGCUAGUAAGCCCUCACUCUGGGAUGAAGCCAACAGGUGGCAGCCAGGCAGGCAGCACUGACUUGUGGUCUCAGCAUUGUAAAAGAUCCCAACAGCCCAUGGAGAUGCUGUAGGCAAUGCCAGUCAUGCCAGGCACUUCUCUGCUGUCUCAGCUAGUUUCUGUAUAGCUAAUACUGAGGGAACAGGAACGGAUAAAAGCAGGAUAGCCAUGGAUCUCUUACUGCACUACCCUGCCUAUGAUCACUGAGCUCCUACCAAUGAAUGAGCCACCUACAUUCCCACAUUAUCUGUACAUAUGUCCAUUGAUGUUAAGCUUGGAGGGGGACCAUAUGCCAACUUUUUUUUGGAACAGCACUAGAAGCACUGUUGAGCAUACUGCCCUGCAAACCACUGGGUACAGUCAAAAAAAUUCAGUAAGUUCCUCACCAGUGACUGAUAACUUUCUUUGUCUCUCUCCUCUUUUCUGUGACUUAGAGAAUCAAGAGUCUAAUCCUACCCACAGAUCAGCUUUUUGCUAUAAUCUGGUACCUUGUUUGGCAUUUCCUUAUCUGAUCAGCUCACCAAUCAUUUUCCCUUUUACAGAAGGAUAAGUAAAUGAGGGCCACUCAGAGGAGAAUUGAUCAGAGUUUGUUCCUCAAACAGAGCCUAAUCAAACCUUUUCCUCAGGCUCAGCGGAUGUCACUCAGCUGUAAAAGACAGGUGCUCAGAUACCUCCGUCCUUUUCUCUCCUCUUUCCUCCAAGCUCUAACCAGAAAGAAUAUAGGCCUGAAACACAGCAAGAAAGACUUUCACUAUGGGCUUGUAUUACUUCACCUCUUCUUCCUUUUCUGCUGUUCCUAGAUUCCCUUGAUCAAUAGUCUCUUGAUCUUUCAGUUCUGAAAGUCAUCUCACCAAGUUUCAAACAUAUCCAAUCAUUCAUAACUUCUCCCUUAGAGAAAUGUGUCAAGUUCCUUUUGCAUGUUUAUUUCUGAUCCUCUUUGCAGAUAUGUUUAAGAGCUUCCCUACAUUAACAUUCCUACCUUUCACCUUGCUUCAGAAGAUUCCAUUUUCUUUUCAAAAAUAAAUGCCAGAUUUGUUUUUGAUCUCAGGAGUAAAAGUAUCUUUUUACCUCUGUUUUUGCAUCGCUGGGAGUAAGCAUUGUCAGUUUUGAAGCCUCCAGCUCACAAUAUUUUCUGCUUGAACAGAAGUUGAAGCAAAGCCCAAGCAUGUAUUUUUCACCUUAGAUAAUAUGCCAGUUCUCUAAGGGCAAGAGGCUCAACAGGUAAAUUGACAUGGAUUUUACAGAAAUCAGCUAUCUAAGUUACACCAGCUGAGACUCUAGCUGGAGAAAUCAAAAGCAAUCCUCUCUGGAAAGUAAGUACAGUCAUCAGUUGUCUUUAAGUUGCUUCUCCUGUCAGUGCACACUUUCAGCUUGAGGAUGUCAAAGACUGUUUUCCUGCAUCUUCUCCAUAUUUUAUGUGGUCCCCUUUGCACUUUUGUGUGUAAACUCUUUUAUCCAACGCUUUCAUUUCUCUUGCACCCUGACUCUCAGACUCCGUGCUGAGGUGAUCUCUGUAUGAAAACUGGCUGACAUAUCCUAUGCCUGUCACUGAGCAAGACCGAGUGGCCUCUUUUUCCACUCAAUUGGUUUUUCAUACUUCAACGGCUGUCCUGUUCAUUUUUGGAGGGCCCUCUAUCACCGCUUCAUUGCCUACACAAAAUAGCUUCUGCAGUUGACUAGGCUAAAAGGAUCCAUGCCCAUUUCUCUUCCAGGUUGCCUGAUACUCAUGCUUUUUUCUUCCCUGUUCGUUCAACAAUGACUGAAUUAAGUGGUAGGAGAUUGAAAGUCUCAACAAAUAAACAUAAAAUGCUGACUCCUUGAUUUCAUUAUGUCAUCCAUGAUGAACAAUGGUCUCCUCUUGUGCAGGUGGAAGGGUGUGCAUCAGUGCUGCUGCCUGGCCAGAGCUUUGUUGGGAAAUGCAGUUUGGUUGAGGGGACAGGUUCCCGAUUAAGAACAAAAACAAGAGAGACUUGAGACCUUUGGAGUGCUGUGAUCAUCCUUCAGAAUUGAAGCAUUUCGUCUACUUUCUUGGUUUGACAGCUCAGUUUUUCAACAAAAAAAAAUUGAAACAUUCUGUGGAAAGCAGAAGCCUUUCAUGAAAAAUUCACUGCCACUGAAAGCUCCACUCUGUUGCAAAACAGUGUGAUGUAAAAUUUUUUCCAUUGUUUCCAAUUAGGAGAAAUGUAGAGCUCCCUCUGUACUAUGCCAGGGCUCAGAAGGCAAGCUAGCAGUUGUCCUACAUCUUCAGUAGCAAUUAAUGUCUGAUUGGCCUAUGUGCUCAAGAUACAGGUUUGAGAGGAGAGAAAACAAGGCCUAGUUUGCUGAAAGUCCCCUUGAAUUCUCCUCAGAAAUCUUAAAACUUACCAUUCUUUAGACCAAGGUUGAAGCUUUUUCUUCUUGCUUGUUUCUUCCUUAGCUGUUUAUGUUGCACAAAGCCCUAUGUUGUGUUCUCCCAAUUUUUUGGAAAGUUUUCAGACUUAUUUCCAAUUCUGACCUUGCACGAGGCAUGUCACUUGUUUAAGUGAUAUUUUUCACUAAGAUGUAUUAAAGAAUGCAAAUGCCUUUAAGCUUGUGUCUUUAAACAACAACAGCAAAAAAGUAAUAAUUAAUGAGCAGAUAUGCCAUAAAAUAAUAAUAAUCACCAGUCCUGUAAGAGGACUUUCUCUCUCUAAGAGAUAAAACUGAGGCUGCCAGUUGCUGCAUGGACAGUCUCCAUGAAACUUUUGUUUCAUCUGACCCUCAGUGUUCAUUUUAAGCCUGAUUUGGCUAGCUGGUUUGGGCAAUUUUAAUUGCACAUGCAUUAGUCCUCCUUCAGCAGAAUAUGUGCCUUUUAAUCUCCAGGACUUCCAGACUCAGUGGGCACUUUAUCCCUGCGCAUCUCCUCUGUUUUGUGCCUGAUUACUGGAAUAUGGGCAACAUUUGGUGGAGGUGGCACAUAAACCCUGUGGCUGCUUUCAUCAUUCUGUCAAAGGGAGGGAAAUAAUCAAAGAGCUGCAGCAAGAAAACAAAUGGCCAAAUAGCUGUUGAAGCAGGAGGUUCCAGCUUGUUGGAGCUCAGCUUAUUACAGGCCAUAUGCCUGAGUGGCUCCUCUCACUGAGUGCUGCAACCAGCUAUGGAAACAAGUGUGCAAGCGCCUGCGGUUCAUGAGGUCUGGUUUGCUAUAGCUGUGUGUAACUGCCGAGAGCACAGAAAGUAAAAACCCGAAGAGGCUGUGGGGCUAAUUGAAGAGAGAAUUCUUUAGGAAAUAAAAAAUUAAAAUACAAAUUCCCAAAAUAUUUAUGUAAAGAUGUUAAUGGGCAAUAAUAAUUUGUUUUCCAAGCUCACAGCAGAUGCUGUUCUUUUAGUACACAGACUAUAUUCAUAAAUGAUGCAACUUAACAUAAGUGGUGAAAAAAUGAUACGCUCUUCUACUUUAAGUAUCAUGGGGUUGAAUUAAUAGUUACUCUUGACAGUUACCACUAUCUCACACCCUUUCAGCUAUGCCCAAUGUUUUCAGGGCUGGCUCUGCCACAUGAUUCAGCUCCUGAAUGAUGGGUGUGUUAAAGAAGCUGAAUGACAGAGCUGGAAGGAAACAGGAAGGGUGGAAGAAGUCUGUUUUCAACCUGGUGUUUCAUUUCUCUUUACUCAGCAGAGCUCCUCCCAAGAGCACUGAAGGCGCAGGCCCCAGCCAACUACUUCAUUUGGGUGUUAGGAAAUUGGAAUAAUCUAGCAAAAGCAAGUGACCAUCAGCAACCAAGAGACUGCUCUAUAGCUGCCUUACUGCCCAUCUUGUCUGUAAAGUUCUUUGUUUCUCACAGGGCUUAACUGCUUAAGGACUCAUUCUAGAAGACAUAUUCCUGCUAAAGCAGCUUCACUAAUUCAGAAAAAGUAUUCCUAGUGCAAAAUAUGAGACAUGCACAUUUAGUUAUUCAGGAGGAGGUACUCCACUGUAAAUUCAUACUCUGUCCUUAAUUCAAAUGGAUUUCCCUCAAGAAGGUAGUGCUUCUUCUCUCACCACUUCUUCUGUAUGUCUGUGGCCAGGCUAUACAGAUCCGUGGCCUUUUUCUCCGCCAGCCUGGGGUUAUGUCAUCUGUAUAGUAGUACUUCUUUACACGCAUAAUUCACAACACUAUACAUAAUUCAGUACAGCUGUGUCAGUACACCCACAUUUCUUAAAAAGGAUGAUGACAAGUUCUGUUUCAUUUUAGUUAUGCUCCCCGUCUAUGUGACAGCCUCCUCUCCUACCUUUGAAACCUUUCACCUUUAUUUUCCAAUUUGGUUGCCUUUUGCCUCCCCUUUUGUAUUGCCCACUUGAAAGCUUUUUUACUUGGGUUGUGUGUCUUGCUUAACUUUCCUAGCAGCACAUCAAGUAAGGAUGUACUUUAUAACUAAAAUGAGCUGUGAUGACAGCUCUGGUCUGUCUCUGUUUUGGUUUGAAAUGCUGUUACAUGAAAUGCUAGGAAGGUGUCUAGACACAGUGCAGGGUAGGCACUGAAUACACAGUUAUCAGACACUACUAAUGCCUCAAUGUGAAUUGCUGUUGUUUGUGUCCCCCCCCUCCCCCACCCCCCCUUCCCAUGUUAGUUCAGAGGAAAAAUGUAUUGUGUGAUAGUGUUUUAACCUGCACAGGAUGGAUUUAACAGCCUUUCUCUUCUUGUAAGAAUAAACAAAACUAGACAUGGAAAAUCUGUUUCUUAAAAUUUAAAAAACUCAUCUUACCAAUUUUAUUAAAAUUUGCCAUUCUUUGCCUCUGUAUCACAUCAGGGUUCAUUAAUUAUCCUGCUGUCUCUGAACAUGGCUCCAAAGAACAGGGUGACCACUUUUUUUAAUAAAAUUGCAGAUUUACAAUUUUCCAGCUCAGUGAAUUGCUAGUGUUUAAAUAUAUUGAGAGGCCAGUGCCAGGCUGCUUCGCCUCCCUGUGCGGCAUUUUACUGAGAAGGGGAUGGUAGAAGGGUGUGUGAGGACAGGAAGAAAAGCUGUAGAGAAGAAAAAACAGGGCAGACAGACAUAAUGCUGGAACAAUCCUUCAAAAACAGAAGGCCUUAGAGUGCCUGGAGGGUCUUGCAGUUCAGGGGUGGCCCAGAUCACUUCCUCAACCGUCCUUUUGCUCCCGGGAGGGGGGAAAAAACAAUACUUAGAGGGGACGAAGUGUGUCUCUCCUGUAAGGUAUGGCCCUUUACUCCAGCAGUGAGGUGAGGAUCGAGUUGAUCUAUCGUCCUUCAGCCUUUACCCAUUGACUUGCUGGGGGAACAGGAGAAUAAGACACAAACUCUGCACUCUGUGUCUCAGAUGCAGCUAGGUUUCACAUUGGUAUGCACAGGUGCAGGAUCUGCUUGGGAUCUGGUUGGGAAGGGGAAAGAUGAGCCCACACAGGAUUUUCCUGCUGUUGUCUGAAAUUUAUUUAUUUUUUCCAUUUGCAGAAUUGUAAGUUCCUCUGGCAAUGGGGAAAACAGGCGGAAAAGGAGUGAGAGACAGGGUAAUGUGACUAAAAAAAUAAAAAAUAAAAAUGUUGAUGAUCUAAAUAAAAAUAUCAGAAGAAAGAAAGAUGAUGGGAGCUAGUGACAAAGACAGAGCCAAGGGUUUACGUCUUUGUGCCUGUAGCAAAAGCUGGCAUAUAACUAAGCAACCUCUUGUGGUGGCCUUGCUUGAGCAUGACAAACAGCCUUUCUUACAGACACAAAAUAAUAAAAUAUCCAGUUCCUAAAACUCAGCAUCUCUUCUCAGUGCUUGCAGUAACGCUCAGGAUCCCUAGGGCAUGUGGGGACUGCUGGCAUGAGACACUGCUGACAGAGGGAGCAGCACUGCAAUCUCCCACUAGCUGCUUCAGCAGAGACCAGGGAGACCAAGCUACAGGUGAGAAAGGACUUCAGGUACACGUAUCAUCUGCUGAGAACAGUGCCAGCUUAGUGCCCUGUUUUACACAUGGGUGGACUGGUCCAGGCACAUCCUACUUGCCUGGCCAUGAUGCUAGGGGUAGCAGGGCUACACCCAGCGCAAGCCCACUGCUGCAAACUCUCUCCUCCAUUCUGUUAAAAGUCUUGCAGAGACAGAAGAGGCCCAAAGGCCUUUAAAUAUUAGCUUCCUGAUUUCCCUGGCUCUCUCUUUUUGAAACAACUGCAGUUGUUGCAAGAGCAGCCAGGAGCCUUUCAAGGGACCCGCCGAGUCCCAUUUAUGCCUUCGUCAAGCAGUACUGUAUGAGGACUGGUUUUGGUGGCAGCUUUUGUCUGGGACUCAGGAGACCAGGAUACAAGUCUCACUUGGGAUACAAACUUUCUGUAAGAGUUCGGCAUGUGAGGCAGAAAUUGUGUCCUCUCACCAUAAAUGACUACAGUGUGCAUCCAAGCUGGUCAAUUCUGUCUCCCUUCAGAAGCAAGAAAUGAAGAGAAAUGGACGCUUCAAAAGCGCAGUGCAUCAGACCUACUUUGCUUCUAACUUAGGAUGAGAUAAAUGUCUGCCAGAGGGCACUGCUUCUUUCUGUUGUCUGGAAAGAGAGCCCAAGGGUGGCCAUAUUUGUACUAGGCAUCCAUGGCACAGAUGGAUACUUCUAUCUGAAUAAAUUGUGCUUGCAGCCUGCCCUCUGUUUUAGUUUGCUCUGUAUAAAGCAAAGGUGUCACAGUGGUUUUCCUUUUGCAGAGAUGCUGUGAAACUUAAAUCCUGUAAUGCCUGUGUGGCAUCUACAUGCAGAGGUGACCAAGGCAUGGGAGUGCCUGUCAUACCGUGAACACAAUGAGAUGCUGUUCCAAAGGCUGCCAGGGAGGAGUUCCUCUGUUUGUGGCACCUGUAUUCAAUACCACGUUUGUGAGAAACACAGGGUCUCACCUCCAUGGUCUCAACUACUUCCUGACUUGCUGGUAACAUGCACAUGUCGUGAAGAAGACGGUUUGCUGCAGCAGGGCAAAGGCUGCAGUGGAGUCUCAGCAUGUCCAGAUGCUGAAGGUCCUCAUCAGAAGUCCCAGCCAUACAUUAGCAGAAAGUAAAGGUACUGGGAAAUCAUUGGCAAGGGAGACAGUGGAAAGUGAACCUAAUGAAAAAUUAUGUUGUUAUUAUCAUUAUUAUUAUUUUAUUCCUUUUUAUUGAAACUACCUCACUUUUGAUUACAUUCAUCUCUAUUUCUAUCACACACACCAAAAAAAAAAAAAAAAGCACUAGGCAAUAUUAUAUGUAUUUUCAGUUUGUGUUUUAAGUAAGCACUGUGCUUACUGAAAAGCAAUUUUUAAAACAUUUCUUGUCCUUAUACAAGGAAACUGUGUUGAAAUCUUUUCUUCUUUAACACGUUAGUAAGAAAUGAAUUUUGCUACUUGCUUUGGUGGGA
Molecule: long non-coding RNA, 10936 nt
Organism: Cygnus olor (mute swan)
Lineage: Eukaryota; Metazoa; Chordata; Aves; Anseriformes; Anatidae
Exons: 5
Source: RefSeq, a predicted model, not a curated record